GUUUACUAUUAAACACUUGAAGUUGAAACAGUCAAACACUUUCAAGCAAAAAAAAAUAAUAAAUAAAUAAAUUAAAAAGAAGUAGAGAUAAUAAAAUGUUUAUUUGAUUUACUUAAAUUAAUAAUACAUAAUUUAAACAUAACUACAAAAAGAAAAAAAAUGUGUAAUCAAGAUAUUGAUAAGAGAGAAAGUAUCUUAGAU
RNAcentral lists this long non-coding RNA (201 nucleotides) under Vigna radiata. RNAcentral's name for it is "long non-coding RNA (VRAD_LNC001494)". The record is from RNAcentral. Lineage: Eukaryota; Viridiplantae; Streptophyta; Magnoliopsida; Fabales; Fabaceae.